Molecule: long non-coding RNA, 5678 nt
Filed under: Homo sapiens (human)
Lineage: Eukaryota; Metazoa; Chordata; Mammalia; Primates; Hominidae
Description: HSALNT0382671
Source: RNAcentral
CUCUUUUGUUCUGGAACGGGCCGAGCCCCAGGAAGUGGAGCUGCGGAGCUGAGGCCUCACCGUGUCUUGGCCCACCCUGCUCAGCUGAUAGGAAGGUGUGUCACCUCUUUCCUAAUCGGGGAAAGAAAGGUAUUGUCACUUCUCAGAAUUGGAGAGCGCGGCAAGGAGUGCACAGGGCCAGGUGUCUUCUCGCUCCCACAGCCAAGCAGCAGAUGCAGAGUCCCACGCGCUGCCUGUGGCCAUCAAGUCGAUAUAGAGCCUCGUGGCGGCUUGGCCCUUGUGAAUCUUCCACGUAUCGAUGGCGCACCUACCUUGUGCCAGGCGCAGCGGAUCCCACAAUGUAAAAGAAGAGGAAAUACACUGCGACAUGUGAUAUGGAGAGACAUGAAACAAAUCAGCAGAGGCAAGAUCAUGGAGUCACUGAAGGCUUUCAAGCAAGGGAUUAUUAGCAGCCCAAUUUGCUGGGUUUUAGAAAGACACCGGCUGCACUGUGGCCGACAGAGGAAAAGCCAGAGACAGGGAGAUCCGCCCCCUAAAUGGGAGAGGGUGGCCUGAACUAGAGUAACCGCAGGGAGGGUGGAGCGCUGAUCAUUUCAAGGAUCUUCAGGAACUGAAAUGAUCAGAACUUGGGAAUGACUGCAUGUGCGAAUAAGGGGGAAAAGUCAAGGAAAUGCCCAGGUUUGGGGCCCAAGGAACAGGUUUGGGAGGCCGAGGUGAGGAGUUCAGCUUUGGACAUAAUGAGUUUGAGAUGCCCACAGGACAUCCAAAUACAAAUGUUAAAGGGGUAACUGAAUAUAUGUGACUGGAGUUUGCGAAAUCAAGGCUGGUGAUAGAGAUUCUGGAAUCUUCUGAAAGCAGAUGGCAAUUGAAGCUAUGGAAAUGGAUGAGAGAGUGUGUAAAGAGCACGAGGGCCCAGGUUAGAACAGCAAGGGCAGGUAGAGAAGUCACCAAAGGACACUGACCAGUGCUACUACCAAAGCAGUCAGGAAGUUGAAGAUAAGGCAGACAACUGGAUUGAUUCAGUUAAGAAUUGAGGCACAAAAGCUGAACCAGCAUUAUAUAGCAGUCAUUUGUAGAAUCUGCUUUGGGUGAAGUCACGUCAGCCUCAAUUAGAGGUUUGGCAGUUGUCAUGGAAAUAAAGGGGACGUCUGUGAAGGUGAGUUACGAUGGCAUCUGGCUAGAUGGGUGAGGAGAGCUAAGAGGUGCUCUGCUGUGAACCAUUCAGCCUUUCCCACACGUGACUCAGGAGUAGGGGAUAUGAGGACUUCAUUGCACCAGUGGGGAGGAGAAAAGCCAUCCGCCCCAUGUGCCACCAAACUGUGCACCUGACUUGUUGCUCCUGCCCACAUCCCUGCCUCCUGAAGGGAGAGAGAGGCAGAGUGGGAAGACAUAUUGCCUAAUGGUGAGGGAAAACACAGGGACUGAUUCAAAUGGCAGGAAACCCCUUGUAAAUGUUUGUGGUGGUUCACAUUUUAUUGAGACAGGAUCUCGCCAUGUUGCUCAGGCUGGUCUCAAGCUCUUGGAUUCAAGCAAUGCUCCUGCCUCAGCUUCCUCAGUAGCUGCGCAACUACAGGCCUCAUUUUAUCUUGUUUUAAAUAGAGUCCCACUUAAAAACUCGCAAUGGAGAAACAGGAAAAGGGAUUUUUAAAAGCAUAUAAACUAGGUGUAUGUGAAUAAAUACACAGUGUAGCUCUGGGGCUGGUUGUUGGGGCUGGGAUUGCGAUGGUACCAUCCUUCUUGUGAAGGAUGUGUUUUUUCUAAUUGGGGGAUAAUUCCAGGUCUCGAAUCUGGAUGACUAGAACAGGAAGUAGAAAGUGGUUUGAAGAAGCACUAAAAAGUGGGACAAUGUUUCAAACACAUUGCGCAUAUCACAUUGAAGACCUUGCUCUCUUUAAUGUCUUACAAGUUUAUUCCCAGGUUAAAAAUAAUUUAAAAAAAAAACUAGUUACUACUAUCAAUACUCUGAUAAUGCAAGUAAUCUCGAUUUGUUGGGUAGAUACUGGAAUAUCACACUUUCUUAAAAUAGUAUAUUUUACAGUAAAUAUAGAUUAGUCAAGUAUCUUUCUGGGUCUCAAUGCAAAGUUUGAGAAUAGUGACAUGUUAUUUUUGGACCCAGCAAAAUAUUUUCUCAACUCUGUAAAUGGGUUUAAAUUCCACCUCCCACCACUUAAUAAACUUUUUUUUUCCUGCCCCGACAGGAUCUUGCUUUAUCGCCCAGGCUGGAGUACAGUGGUGCAAUCAUAACUCACUGUAAUCUUGGACCCCUGGGCUCAAGCAAUCCUCCCCUCAACCUCCCAAGCAGCUACAACUAUAGGCACGUGCCACCACAACCCAGCUAAUUUUCUUAUUUUUCAGAGACAGGGUCUAUGUUGCCCAGGCUGGUCUUGAACUCCUGGCCUCAAGUGAUCCUUCUGUCUCAGCCUCUCAAAGUGCUGGGAUUACAGGUGUGAGCCACCGUGCCCAGCCUAGCUGACCUUUUAAUUUCUUUGCCUGUGAAAUGGGUACUUCCCUCAUACUGAUGCUGUGAGAAACAAGUAAGAAUGUAGUAAAGUACUCAUUGCAGAGCCUAGUAGUCACUUGGGUAGUUAUUAAUAAACAGCUGUAAGAUGAUAGUCACACUCUUAACAGUAAAUAAGAUUAUUUAUUGGAUUCUCCCACAUUCAACCUCCACCUCCUGAUUAGAACAGGAGAAAAACCUGAGGCCACAAGAAAUGAUCAAGAAACAAAAGGCUGCGGCAGUUAUCACUGCAGUUCCUAUGAACUGGUUUAAAUCAGCAAUGAGGUAUUUGUAUUUUGUAUUGCAUUACUCCCAUUAAGUUAAACCUCAAUUAACUAGAACCUUUGUUCCAAAAUGGUGUUGACAGCCAGGCGUGGUGGCUCACGCCUGUAAUCAAUCCCAGCACUCUGGGAGGCCAAGGCAGCUGAGGUCAGGAGUUCGAGACCAGCCUGGCCAACAUAGUGAAACCCCAUCUCUACUAAAAAUACAAAAAUUAGCUGGGCGUGGUGGUGGGCACCUGUAAUCCCAGCUACUCUGGAGGCUGAGGCCGCAUAAUAGCUUGAAUCCAGGAGGUGGAGGAUGCAGUGAGCCGAGAUUGCACCACUGCCCUCCAGCCUUGGCAACAGAGCGAGGCUUCAUCUCAAAAAACAAACAAAAAACAAAUCAAAAUUCUGUUUAUAUUCACUUUUAGAAGAAAAAGGCAAAUGACAUAAAAGAGUUUUUUUUAUAUAUAUAUAUAUUUAUUUAUUUUUAAAAACUCCAGGGGAUGUCCCAAAGUUAGUAAACAGUUCUGUUUCUUGUCCCUUUUAUGGCUGCAUGCAGUUUCAAUUGUUCAGUACAACAGAUGAGGCAUUUAAAAGGUCUCCAACGUCAAGAAACACUAACUCAUCUCUGGCAUAUCAUAUUUUUUAAGGCAGAAGUAUUUUCUGUAAUGGUUACUACAGAGUGUUUACUGGUUAAUUUUUAGUUAACCAGAACCACACAUCCCAUAGAUAAUUCCAUUUAACUGAGGUUUAUAUCCGUAAGAGCAUUACCAUAGAAAAAUUUCCCUUUAGCAAUUUCAAGAGACCUCAGCCACCAAUAUACCUACCUUCUUUACAAUAUAAAGUGAAAUAUUACUUUAGAUGAAAAUUUUUUGUAUCUUACUUAGAAAAAAUUAAGUUGAUAUUUAAAAGAAUUUUGAUUUUUAAUCACCUUCCACAACGAUUUGAUAUACCUUAAACUCCACUUUCAUUUUUUAUAAGAGAAUCACUUUCAAGGGAAAAAAAUGGAUGUUACUAUAUUUUAAAAUCUGCUUUAUAAAAAAGUGUAUAAAUAUCAAUCUGCCAGAUAUACUUCCUAUCCCCAACACAGCUGUAACACUGACUAAUGGGGUCAUGACCAUGAAGCAAAUUUUACUUCCUAAAUAGAAAUGUGUAGGUGGCAGAAAGCGUAUUUUUCAGCAGGAGUGAUUCUGUUGGAUCUCUUUACAAUGUCAGAGCAGUUGUUAGAAAUGUUAGUAUUUUAUUCGGUUUCUUGCUGUGAAGGAUUAUCACAAUGUUGAAGUGAUGGCUGUUCACCCAGUCGUCAUCACCGUCAUCAUCUCAAUCUUGGGAAUCAUCAGCAGUGUCCCCCACACAGAGAGACAGGUAUAGUGGUGCAGUUUAGUGACAGGGAAUCCAGUCUUAGAUCCUGUUUAUAUCACAUUUUUGUGAAUUUACACAAAAUUCCAUUUAUAGCUUUAAAACUGUACUACAUAACACAUUACUAUACUACUACAAAAUAUCCUUCUCUAUAAAUGCACUGAAUAUUUUCUUGGGCAUUUUAUUAGGCCUUUUUUAGCAUUAUUACAAAUGCUAACAACAAGAUACUUCAAACCACCAAAUAUAAAGUCAGCUUCUUAAUUUUCUGAAAUUUAGUUAUUUGAGUUAAUAAGAAUUCUGUAGGAAUACUGACCCAUCUCUUUUCAUCCAACCUUCAAAAUAGUUAAGCCUAUUUGCCCAUCUCACCUAACCUUCAAAAUAGUUAAAACAAAAACAAACCCAAACUAGCUAUAUAUAACAAGAAUCUUUCAAUUCCCAAACUAUUGAAAGACCCUAAGUCAGCCAAUCUAUGAAAUUAUACAAGAUGAAGGUGAAAAAGCUGUGCUUUUUUUUAAACCAUUAAACCCAGUUCUUUUCUCUUAAAGUUGUAAGAAAAUGGAAAAUCUGUUUUUAAAUCAUGCAAAGAUUUAAAUAAGCAUUUUUCUAUCUGCUCUAAGAAACUGUUUCUUAUCUUACAAUUUUAAAUAUUCAUAACACUCAAACUACUUUUUUGUGGCCAUUUAUGUUUUUGACACUAGAUUGUAUGGUAUUAUUUAGCCAAGAUGUAUUAUAAUGCUAAAUUAUGUAUAAAAUAUGAUUUCUGGAAUUUGUCCAUCUUCUAUUGAAGUGCCAUUAUUAUUGCCAGGGGAACUAAAAAAGAAAAAAACAGUCUUGCUUGCAGCAGGUGUCUCAUGCACUACUUUCUUCAAUCCUUUUGUGCCAUAGUGGGAAUCUGGACCCUAAAUGAGAACAAAAGGUUCCUUAGUAAUUUUCAUUUAAUAAGCACUCAGUUUAAUGUGGUGUUUUAAUUAGAUUAAUGUUCCAUUAUAUUUCACUAUCAUUCCUAUAUAAAAUUUUAUGCUGUCAUUUAGAGAAAAAUGAAGUUUUUACCAAAAAACUAAUUAAUGAAUAAAAAUACUGAAUGUACAGCCCAGCUAUUAGAGAAUAGUGAAAAGAUUUUACAAAAAUAACUUUUAUUUUCUGCCAAACAUUCAACUGCUUACUGAAACAAAGGGCUACUUCUUAAGAAGAGCUAUUUCUUUCAGAACAGAGCUGUGGGGAGAAGUACUUCUUUUCGGAAGGCAGUGGAAUAUUUUAGCUCCCAGCUUCUUUUCCCCCCUCUUUAUAAAUGGCUCAGCUGUCAGUGACUCUCAGCUUCUAAAACACACAUUCUGCAACAUUCAAGAGGAAACCAUCUGGAACAUAGUGCAUGACUCUUACUUUGAGUGUUGCACAUGCUGUGUAGCACACAUUGGGCAGGAUCUCUAUGGGUUCCUUGAACAUGACCCUGAAUGUGUUAGCUGUCCCAUCACAACUAAAGCCGGUAUCAUUCUGUCCCAGGGUUUGCUUUUUCUCAUAUUCAAUGAUCUGUAAUUUUUAAGAGACAAGUUACAUUUAAG